UGCCCCAUGGCUGAGUUGGUUACAGCGUCCGACUGUUACGAUGUUCUGCCCCUCAUUCGAGGCUGGAACACCCAGAUAGCAAUCGGAAGGUCGAGAGUUCGAGCCUCUCUGGGGCAG
This is a non-coding RNA of Coprinopsis sp. MPI-PUGE-AT-0042, 117 nucleotides long. The record is from the annotation of a GenBank genome assembly. NCBI's taxonomy places the organism in Eukaryota, Fungi, Basidiomycota, Agaricomycetes, Agaricales, Psathyrellaceae.